This 245-nucleotide ribosomal RNA is filed under the name uncultured bacterium. Its description in RNAcentral is "partial 16S ribosomal RNA". It matches the Rfam family "Bacterial small subunit ribosomal RNA", at positions 524 to 768 of the family's 1533-position model. The record is from RNAcentral.
UACGUAGGUGGCUAGCGUUAUCCGGAUUUACUGGGCGUAAAGAGUGCGUAGGCGGCUCUUCAAGUCGGAUGUGAAAUCUCCUGGCUUAACUGGGAGGGGUCAUUCGAUACUGUUGGGCUGGAGGGCAGCAGAGGAAGGUGGAAUUCCCGGUGUAGUGGUGAAAUGCGUAGAUAUCGGGAGGAACACCAGUGGCGAAGGCGGCCUUCUGGGCUGUACCUGACGCUGAGGCACGAAAGCGCGGGGAG